CCGGUGGCCUAACCCUUGUGGAGGGAGCCGUCGAAGGUGGGAUCGGCGAUUGGGACGAAGUCGUAACAAGGUAGCCGUACCGGAAGGUGCGGCUGGAUCACCUCCUUUCUAAGGAG
RNAcentral lists this ribosomal RNA (116 nucleotides) under Mycobacterium syngnathidarum. RNAcentral's name for it is "partial 16S ribosomal RNA". It matches the Rfam family "Bacterial small subunit ribosomal RNA", at positions 1427 to 1533 of the family's 1533-position model. Lineage: Bacteria; Bacillati; Actinomycetota; Actinomycetes; Mycobacteriales; Mycobacteriaceae. The record is from RNAcentral.